RNAcentral lists this ribosomal RNA (869 nucleotides) under Enterococcus faecium. RNAcentral describes it as "bacterial SSU rRNA". It matches the Rfam family "Bacterial small subunit ribosomal RNA", at positions 56 to 896 of the family's 1533-position model. Lineage: Bacteria; Bacillati; Bacillota; Bacilli; Lactobacillales; Enterococcaceae. The record is from RNAcentral.
UGCAGUCGUACGCUUCUUUUUCCACCGGAGCUUGCUCCACCGGAAAAAGAAGAGUGGCGAACGGGUGAGUAACACGUGGGUAACCUGCCCAUCAGAAGGGGAUAACACUUGGAAACAGGUGCUAAUACCGUAUAACAAUCGAAACCGCAUGGUUUUGAUUUGAAAGGCGCUUUCGGGUGUCGCUGAUGGAUGGACCCGCGGUGCAUUAGCUAGUUGGUGAGGUAACGGCUCACCAAGGCCACGAUGCAUAGCCGACCUGAGAGGGUGAUCGGCCACAUUGGGACUGAGACACGGCCCAAACUCCUACGGGAGGCAGCAGUAGGGAAUCUUCGGCAAUGGACGAAAGUCUGACCGAGCAACGCCGCGUGAGUGAAGAAGGUUUUCGGAUCGUAAAACUCUGUUGUUAGAGAAGAACAAGGAUGAGAGUAACUGUUCAUCCCUUGACGGUAUCUAACCAGAAAGCCACGGCUAACUACGUGCCAGCAGCCGCGGUAAUACGUAGGUGGCAAGCGUUGUCCGGAUUUAUUGGGCGUAAAGCGAGCGCAGGCGGUUUCUUAAGUCUGAUGUGAAAGCCCCCGGCUCAACCGGGGAGGGUCAUUGGAAACUGGGAGACUUGAGUGCAGAAGAGGAGAGUGGAAUUCCAUGUGUAGCGGUGAAAUGCGUAGAUAUAUGGAGGAACACCAGUGGCGAAGGCGGCUCUCUGGUCUGUAACUGACGCUGAGGCUCGAAAGCGUGGGGAGCAAACAGGAUUAGAUACCCUGGUAGUCCACGCCGUAAACGAUGAGUGCUAAGUGUUGGAGGGUUUCCGCCCUUCAGUGCUGCAGCUAACGCAUUAAGCACUCCGCCUGGGGAGUACGACCGCAAGGUGA